Molecule: ribosomal RNA, 253 nt
Filed under: uncultured bacterium
Lineage: Bacteria
Description: partial 16S ribosomal RNA
Rfam family: Bacterial small subunit ribosomal RNA
Source: RNAcentral
UACGGAGGGUGCGAGCGUUGUCCGGAAUCACUGGGCGUAAAGGGCGCGUAGGUGGCGCGGGCAGUCAACGGUGAAAGUUCGGGGCUCAACCCUGAAUCGGCCGUCGAUACUCCCGUGCUUGAGCACUGUAGAGGCAGAUGGAAUUCCGGGUGUAGCGGUGGAAUGCGUAGAGAUCCGGAAGAACACCGGUGGCGAAGGCGGUCUGCUGGGCAGUUGCUGACACUGAGGCGCGAAAGCGUGGGGAGCAAACAGG